This is an RNA transcript of Zingiber officinale, 2421 nucleotides long. It is a transcript of the gene named lipase-like PAD4, with no coding region annotated. Lineage: Eukaryota; Viridiplantae; Streptophyta; Magnoliopsida; Zingiberales; Zingiberaceae. The transcript is spliced from 6 exons. The record is from RefSeq and is a predicted model, not a curated record.
UCACACCUCAGCCUCCACUUUUAAAGAUCCAAAGCUACUGCCACCCCUCUCUCUCUCUCUACUCUUUUAGGUUUUGUUUGCUAAUUGCAAAAGUGGCCAUGAAAUCCAAACCACCCAAUUUUCUCCUCCCGAAUCCCACUCCUCCUCCCCCGAGCUGAAUCCAUGGCUUCUCGCAUGGAGCUGGAGCGAUCCAUGUUCGAGACAAGCCAUGUCCUUGGGGCGCUCCUGGCCUCCUCCCCUCUGCUGACCCAGGCGUGGAGCGGCUGCCUGCGGGCCAAUGCCGGCAGCACCAGCUUCGUUCUCGACCGCUGCGGCGACACGGUGUUCGUCGCCUUCUCCGGAGCACAGAUUACCGCUUCGUCGCCGGCGGCCACCUCUGGCCUCUGUGGUGGGUUCUUCGACCCUGUUCCCCUCCCCAGCGAUUCGCGCGAGCUCUUCGCGCCGUUGGAGGCGGGCGAAGGGAACGACGGAGGGAAGCCGCAACCGGUUCUCCUCCAGGCCGGCGCCCUUCAUCUCUUUAUGAAUUUCUACCAUAGCUCCGAGUUCCAGCUGAUGAUAUCAGAGACAAAAAACCAGUUGGUGGUUUUGACUGGCCAUUCUAUGGGUGGUUGCUUAGCCUCUCUUUUGGCCCUUUAUUUCCUCUGCUCAUCUUAUGCUCGACCAAAUGCUCUGGUACCCAGUUCACUACUCUGCAUCACAUUUGGAAGCCCAUUAAUUGGGAAUGCAACACUAUCCCAAGCGAUUUUGAGGGAACGUUGGGGUGGAAAGUUCUGCCAUGUUGUUGCACAGCAUGACAUCAUGCCAAGGCUGCUAUUCAGCCCUUUCAAUUCCAUGCCUCCCCGGUUAACUACCUUGAUUUACAAUCUCAUGCAGUCAUGGCAUGUCUCAAUGCGGUAUCCUCAGUUCUCAAGACCCAAAUCGCACUUGUCUGAUGACGAGAAAUCAAUGCUGCAUCACUAUAUAUCAAUGCACAUCGGUGAAGUAGCAACGGCAGCAGCAGGGCAAAAGCGGCAAACUAGCCCCUAUCAACCAUUUGGAAACUAUGCUUUGUGUUCUGCAGAAGGUUUAGUGUGCAUGGAUGAUCCACUCACUGUGGUGAAGAUGCUCCACCUGACCUUCAUGACUGGUAAUGGAAUUAGCAACUUUGAGGAGCAGCAUCUCGACUAUGGAGAUCUUGUUUCAAAGAUAUCAGAAAACUUACAAUUCAAGAAGCAGCCCUGCCAUGAAGAAUGUGAAUCCAAAUCUAGGUAUAGCGUAGGGAUCUCACUGGCUUUAGAGGCUUCAGGGAUUAAUGUUCAGGACAUGGGCAACAUGGAGGCCCGAGAAUGUCAUGAACUGAGCAUGUGCCAGCGCCCAAAGCUGCACAGCGCAAGCUUGGCAAUAAAGCUAGCCAAGGUGACGCCAUGCCGUGCCCAGAUCGAGUGGUACAAAGCAUUGUGUGAUGAUGACAUGGGCUACUAUGACUGCUUCAAGCUCGAGAGGGCAUCCAAGCGUGAAGCAAAGGUCAACAUGAAUCGCAUCAGGCUUGGCCAAUUCUGGGAUGAGUUGCUCUCCAUGCUUCAGCACAACGAGCUACCGCACAAUUUCCUAAAGCGUGAUAAGUGGGUCAAUGCUGCACAAUUCUACAAGCUCCUUGUCGAACCCCUUGAUAUUGCUGAGUACUACCGAUGCAAGCUCCACAAGACCAAGGGCCACUACCUGAGCCAUGGCAGGGAGAGGAGGUAUGAGGUGUUUGAGAAAUGGUGGAAUGAGAACAAGGAUAAAAAUUCUCUGGAUAAGGCUGAACGUAAGAGGAGCAAGUAUGCUGGACUGACUCAGGACUCGUGUUUUUGGGCCAAGGUGGAGGAGGUGAGGGAGUGCCUUACGAAUGCAAUGAAUGAGAAGAGCCCCACUAAACUGGUGAAGCUGUGGGAGAACAUCAAUGGCUUUGAGAGUUACGCAAAUAGGCUGAUUGAGCAAAAGGAGGUGUCGAUCGAUGUGCUGGCCCCGCGGUCAAGCUACAGCUUGUGGUUGAAUGAACUGAAGGAAUUGAAGCUGAAGCAGGGAUGCUGUAUUCUUUCGUCCUCUGUACUAGUUGGAAUAACCGGAGGGACAUAGUCUGUCAAGCAUUACCAGUUCCUGCAGAGAUGUCACCAGCUAGUGACGGAUGGGCUCUGCCAAAAUCUCCCAUUCAAGGUUAAAGACCAAGUGUCAAAUGUGAUACAGUGUGGCCAGACACGCGGAGUCAUGGUUGUGGCUAGAUCGAAUAUAUGUAUAUAAGUAAGCAUGGGUGACAUCCGACGUGUGCACCUGUGGCUAGAUCGAAUAUAUGUAUAUAAGUAAGCAUGGGUGACAUUCGACGUGUACACCUGACACGUGUCAAAAUUUAAUUUUUUUUAAUUCCUAUAUGUAUGUAAUAAUUUUUUUCUCUUUCUUCUUAAA